Molecule: RNA transcript, 1673 nt
Organism: Pseudophryne corroboree (corroboree frog)
Lineage: Eukaryota; Metazoa; Chordata; Amphibia; Anura; Myobatrachidae
Gene: C2H1orf216
Gene name: chromosome 2 C1orf216 homolog
Exons: 2
Source: RefSeq, a predicted model, not a curated record
GCCAUUUUGAGAGGUAUAGACACAAAGUGACCACAGAGAGAGUGUGCUGAGCAGCUAGAGAUAGGAAGCCCUGGUACCCGGUGGCUGGGAUCAGUGUAAAUGCAGCCAAGUCACCACAUCACCUCCCGAGGGACACAGCAGCUCCCAGUGUCUCUGAUAGAGAAGUGUCAGAUGGAGGUGGAGCAGAGGUCAUGAAUCUGCUGUGAGAGUCCAGCCAGGGUUUGCCCUGGCGGUGUAGAGGUACGCUCUCCUGUGCGGUAUUUUGUUAUAUAACUCCAGAAAAAUAAUGGAGAACAAAAAUUUGGAGGAUAAAAUAGGGAAAGAUCAAGAACCACUUCCUCCUAUUGCUGCUGCCGCCGCUGCUGUUGCUGCUGGGAGUCGAUCAUCAUCCCAGAGGGGAAGUCGGAAUACCACUUGUAUUACUUCAACUAAGAAAAUGACUGUCCAACAGUACUUUGCGAGGAAGAUGAAAUAUGACAGCAGUCAUCCUGUUGCAAAGCGGAUAACUGAGGCCUUGACAGCUACAAGAUGUUGGUGUUAGAUGUGCGUCCCGUAUCCGCCAUUAGUGUAGUAGGACUGCAGUGCCAACCCUAGAUGGGCCACAUGUUUGUGCCGCACACUUGUGUCACUUAGCUUAGUCAUAGAGCUCCCUCAUUGCACCUCUUUUACAUCUUUGCAUGAUAUGCUGUUUGGGGACUAUUUUUUGUUAAGUGCCAUCCUGCCUGUCACUGCAGUGCAACUCCUAGAUGGGACAGGUGUUUGUGCCACACACUUGUGUCGCUUAGCUUAUCAUACAGCUACCUUAUUGCAUGUGCUGGUUGGGGACUAUUUUUUUUUUUAAAGUGCCAUCCUGUUUGCCACUUCAGUGCCACUCCUAGAUGGGCCAGGUGUUUGUGCCGCACACUUGUGUCGCUUAGCUUAGUCAUACAGCUACCUCAUUGCACCUCUUUUACUUCUUUGCAUGAUUUGCUGUUUGGGGCCUAGUUUUUUUAAGUGCCAUCCUGUCUGACACUGCAGUGCCACUCCUAGAUGGGCCAGGUGUUUGUGCCGCACACUUGUGUCGCUUAGCUUAGUCAUACAGCUACCUCGGUGCAACUUUUAGGCCUAAAAACAAUAUUGUGAGGUGUUCAGAAUAGACUGGAAAUAAGUGGAAAUGAAUGUUAUUGAGGUUAAUAAUACCGUAGGAUCAAAAUUACCCCCAAAUUCCGUGAUUUUAGCUACUUUUAUGUUUUAAAAAAAAAUCAUCGAUAUCCAAAACCAAAACCAAAACCCGAAGGGGUGGUUUUGGCAAAACCUAUCCAGAUCCAAAACACGAGCAGGAAUACAGAUCCAAAACCAAAACACAAAAAGUGCCCGCUGCACAUCUCUAGUAAAAGGUGUUAAAGAGACAUGUUCAUAAUGUAGGUGGCAUUAGGAUCUUGCAAGAGAUAGUUUAUGGCAAAUGUACAAUGUGUGGCAGUUGUAGGAAGGUUCUGUGGGUAUACAGUACUUCAAUUUAAGACCUGGAUUUAACUGUUCCAUAAAGUGCACCAAUGAAAGAUUGACCAUACAUUGCCUGGACUAUGGAUAUACUUAUAUAUAUAUUUUUUUAAAUUCUUUAUUUUUCAUUUUGCAAAUUGAAACAGUUUCCAUAUAGUGCAGUACGUAUGUCCAAAAAUAAAACGUAGACAUUA